This 60-nucleotide transfer RNA is filed under the name Clostridium perfringens. It matches the Rfam family "tRNA", at positions 8 to 63 of the family's 71-position model. Rfam says of the family: Transfer RNA (tRNA) molecules are approximately 80 nucleotides in length. RNAcentral also lists the same sequence under 3 other names. The record is from RNAcentral. Lineage: Bacteria; Bacillati; Bacillota; Clostridia; Eubacteriales; Clostridiaceae.
GUUAGCUCAGUUGGUAGAGCGCUCGGCUGUUAACCGAUAGGUCGUUGGUUCAAGUCCAAC